RNAcentral lists this ribosomal RNA (1281 nucleotides) under Enterobacter hormaechei. Its description in RNAcentral is "partial 23S ribosomal RNA". It matches the Rfam family "Bacterial large subunit ribosomal RNA", at positions 1 to 1487 of the family's 2925-position model. Lineage: Bacteria; Pseudomonadati; Pseudomonadota; Gammaproteobacteria; Enterobacterales; Enterobacteriaceae. The record is from RNAcentral.
GGUUAAGCGACUAAGCGUACACGGUGGAUGCCCUGGCAGUCAGAGGCGAUGAAGGACGUGCUAAUCUGCGAUAAGCGUCGGUAAGGUGAUAUGAACCGUUAUAACCGGCGAUUUCCGAAUGGGGAAACCCAGUGUGUUUCGACACACUAUCAUUAACUGAAUCCAUAGGUUAAUGAGGCGAACCGGGGGAACUGAAACAUCUAAGUACCCCGAGGAAAAGAAAUCAACCGAGAUUCCCCCAGUAGCGGCGAGCGAACGGGGAGCAGCCCAGAGCCUGAAUCAGUGUGUGUGUUAGUGGAAGCGUCUGGAAAGGCGCGCGAUACAGGGUGACAGCCCCGUACACAAAAAUGCACAUGCUGUGAGCUCGAUGAGUAGGGCGGGACACGUGGUAUGUGACUGCGUACCUUUUGUAUAAUGGGUCAGCGACUUAUAUUCUGUAGCAAGGUUAACCGUAUAGGGGAGCCGAAGGGAAACCGAGUCUUAACUGGGCGUUAAGUUGCAGGGUAUAGACCCGAAACCCGGUGAUCUAGCCAUGGGCAGGUUGAAGGUUGGGUAACACUAACUGGAGGACCGAACCGACUAAUGUUGAAAAAUUAGCGGAUGACCUGUGGCUGGGGGUGAAAGGCCAAUCAAACCGGGAGAUAGCUGGUUCUCCCCGAAAGCUAUUUAGGUAGCGCCUCGUGAACUCAUCUUCGGGGGUAGAGCACUGUUUCGGCUAGGGGGCCAUCCCGGCUUACCAACCCGAUGCAAACUACGAAUACCGAAGAAUGUUAUCACGGGAGACACACGGCGGGUGCUAACGUCCGUCGUGAAGAGGGAAACAACCCAGACCGCCAGCUAAGGUCCCAAAGUCAUGGUUAAGUGGGAAACGAUGUGGGAAGGCACAGACAGCCAGGAUGUUGGCUUAGAAGCAGCCAUCAUUUAAAGAAAGCGUAAUAGCUCACUGGUCGAGUCGGCCUGCGCGGAAGAUGUAACGGGGCUAAACCAUGCACCGAAGCUGCGGCAGCGACACUAUGUGUUGUUGGGUAGGGGAGCGUUCUGUAAGCCGUUGAAGGUGUGCUGUGAGGCAUGCUGGAGGUAUCAGAAGUGCGAAUGCUGACAUAAGUAACGAUAAAGCGGGUGAAAAGCCCGCUCGCCGGAAGACCAAGGGUUCCUGUCCAACGUUAAUCGGGGCAGGGUGAGUCGACCCCUAAGGCGAGGCCGAAAGGCGUAGUCGAUGGGAAACAGGUUAAUAUUCCUGUACUUGGUGUUACUGCGAAGGGGGGACGGAGAAGGCUAUGU